AUACGGAGGGUGCAAGCGUUGUUCGGAAUUAUUGGGCGUAAAGAGCAUGUAGGCGGUCUGUUAAGUCUGGUGUGAAAGCCCGGGGCUCAACCCCGGAAGUGCAUUGGAUACUGGCAGACUUGAGUAUGCGAGAGGAAAGCGGAAUUCCGAGUGUAGGAGUGAAAUCCGUAGAUAUUCGGAGGAACACCAGUGGCGAAGGCGGCUUUCUGGACCAAUACUGACGCUGAGAUGCGAAAGCGUGGGGAGCGAACAGAAUUAGAUACCCUAGUAGUCC
Molecule: ribosomal RNA, 274 nt
Filed under: uncultured bacterium
Lineage: Bacteria
Description: partial 16S ribosomal RNA
Rfam family: Bacterial small subunit ribosomal RNA
Source: RNAcentral